AGAUAUGGUAUCACCAUCUUUCAGCUACCUUUGGCGCUAAGUGUCACGGCCCGCAAGUUGAAGGCUCAACCCAACAACUAUUGGGUCAACCUAGAGGAUCCAUUUGUAAAGGUCAAGCCCAACAAAAGAAGCUUAAGGCCCGGCCCAUCGAAUGGAUCAUUCUAGAUCUCUUAGUCCACAUGUCUAGAUUCAAUGUACAGUAGUGGUAGAUUCCGGAUCAUUAGAUUGUUUUGGGUAGUAGGCGAGCUAGGAUCUUUAUAUAAGGAGUGUGCCUCAUUGUGUAUCCU
This 287-nucleotide long non-coding RNA is filed under the name Prunus persica (peach). Its description in RNAcentral is "long non-coding RNA (PPER_LNC004956)". The record is from RNAcentral. Lineage: Eukaryota; Viridiplantae; Streptophyta; Magnoliopsida; Rosales; Rosaceae.